AGGCUACUAAUAAUAGGUCCUGCAUACAGCCUGUUCAUCUGGUCAAGGUAAAUAAUUGGUAAUGCUAUGUAUUUAUAGUCCAUUUGUGUGUCAGGAGAAAAUUUGAAUGUGAUCAAAUUUGGUUUAUAUUGAAAAUUGGGCUGGCAAAGCAGCCUAUACGUUUUCAAUCCAAAAUGAUUAACUGGAAUUAAUCACCAAAAUAGUGAUGACAGGUGUGAGUCAUUAUUUUUAAUAAGGCAUACAGUUGCAUAGGCCUGCAUAACGCAAACCUGGGUAAAGCAAGCUCAGCCCUGUGAGUUCUGUCUAUCAGUUGUCUGUGUCUGGGUAGAGGAAAUCCCCCUCCUAAUCUAGUCUAAAUAUAAUUCCUAUGAACAAGUAUAAGGUUGCUGCAGUUUGACCUGAUUAGGAAAAACUGGUGUCCUCAUAUCCCCUAUAAAACCUUUUUACAACUGAAUAAUCACUGUCAUACCUUUUAUAGGGUCCAGAGUUUUCCUGGUUUGGUUAACAGAUAAGGAAAAACUCUGAGUCCCAGGGGGUAAAUGGAAUGUUUCCUCCAAGCACUUCAAAUCCUGUCCUGCACUGAAGUCAAGCCUCUGAACACCUCAACUCAUGCCUCAUACCCUCAUUCAAUCACUGCUGUGAUCCCUUUCCAACAUGGUAUGGCCAUAACAGGGCCGGCUGUGGAUUCCAGAGUGGAUUCCUGUGUGUUGUGACCAAGAGAACAGAUGCCUUGGGUUCAGUGAAAACAAUUACAGGGUUGCUUACUGUACACACACACACCAGGCUGAGCCCACUGCAGGGGAGAGGGGACCUGUCCUGCUCCUAGUGUUGUGUGUUUUCAGUCCCACUCCAGACUAAUUCCUUCACAUAGAAACACAGGGAUGUGUGUCUGUGUGCUUGAUGAGGUCACCCAGCAGACAGAGCCGGAGGGAAACUGAACAGGCAAACAUGACUGAACAGGACAGGAGGGAGGACCACUCUUUUGCAUCCCAAAUGACACCCUAUUCCCUUUAUAGUGCACUACUUUUGAACAGGGCCCACACAUACACAUGCAUGUGUGUACACACACACACACACACACACACACACACACACACACACACACACACACACACACACACACACACUCUCCAGUGAAAAUGACUAUUUAAACCACUAUCCUUACUGGGGAUGUACAGUGUGAGUGUAUGUGUUGAACAGAUGUUUUUAUACACGGUGCUGAUUUCCUCAACAAGUUGCAGCAUUGCCCUGUACUGCCCCGGGACAGCACGCACCCCUGCCUCCACGCAAAACAACUAGCAGGUACAAAGAAUGUACAAAUCAGAAUGGGUGGAACAGACAUUCCUUUUCAAAACAAUGUUAUGUACAUGUCAACUCAAAGCAAUAUCACGUUGCAAUGUCACACUGUUAUAUGAUAGAAGCAUGGCUUGUGAGAAGGAGAGAGAAGGAGAAAGAUACAUAGUUAAAUAGAGAGAAAAGAAAGGAAUUGAAAGUUUAAAAAGAGAAAGAUGAGAGGGAGAGGAAAUAGCUGGAUGUCUGAAGGGACUCAUAAAUCCAGAGAGAGAGAGGAAUGAGAAAGAUGACUAUGUUGGACUCCCUGGGGGUUGUGUUUGGAGUCUCAAUCGGGGGCUGGAGGAGGUUGUGAAAGACCCGGGGGAAUUAGCGGAGGCAGGUGGAAGAAUAGGAGUCAGAGACAAUAUUUGCUAAAUGUACCGUACGGCAUGAUAAAGCAAUCUGAAUUGGAAUGAAAGUCUGAGGGGCCAGGCUGUUUGGAGUUGUCGUAGCUGGCUGGGGGAGGAUGCAAGCGAGAAGGGGCAGUUUGGAAUGGCAGUGAGCUGGUGAAGUACAGUUACAGUACUGUGCUGCUCCCAUCACUCAUCUGACGUAACGCACUGACAUCCACAUCCAUUCGUUCACAUGGAGUUAUUGAACUAAGCGCGUGUAAGUGAGAGGGGCGCUUGACUGAUGACAGUAACGGUGGGAGCCACAGGUCGGUUCCAUCUGAAUCUCAUACCUUAUGAAUCACAGCUUGAGACCAGAUUGGAUACAGAUUCAGAAACACUGGUUUGGUGUAUUGGAUGCAUCAUAAGAAAAUGUACAAGGCUUCAGAGGGGUAACAGUGCCCCUCUGGCACUGGGGAACCUCUGGCCUGGUGAAGCUGACAGGAGCUCAAAAACUUAAAAAAAAAUAGACCCCCUACUUUAUCAUCCAAGUAAUUCUUCUUUCUCUUAUCUGAGCAGACCAGAAACCUUUCAAUAUACAGUAUACAUUCAAACAAUACUUUAGAACCAUUUAAAUAUAAUAAAUUGGAAGGUUGUGCAGGACCAUGGUAGAUGAAGGAACCAAUCUUUUCAGACUGUUAGAGUAUUUAUCUGGUCAGUAAGGCAGGGUAUUAUGUCUGCUGUUUGUAACAGUGUUAUAUGUGAAAAUGUAUUGUGGAUGAAAAGAAAUCUCUCACCCUGUCUCCUGGUAUUUUGUGUUGAAACUCCUUUACUUUAUCACCACAGUAAUGGCAAGUAUUUGACAUGGUGAACUUUACCCAGCUACAGUAUGCACAAUUAUCAAAACCAUUAAAACACAAUAAAAAUGAUAUUUGAUUGGUA
Molecule: long non-coding RNA, 2603 nt
Organism: Salvelinus fontinalis (brook trout)
Lineage: Eukaryota; Metazoa; Chordata; Actinopteri; Salmoniformes; Salmonidae
Exons: 3
Source: RefSeq, a predicted model, not a curated record